This 484-nucleotide ribosomal RNA is filed under the name uncultured bacterium. RNAcentral's name for it is "partial 16S ribosomal RNA". It matches the Rfam family "Bacterial small subunit ribosomal RNA", at positions 30 to 507 of the family's 1533-position model. The record is from RNAcentral.
AUUGAACGCUGGCGGCAGGCCUAACACAUGCAAGUCGAGCGGAGGAAGGGAGCUUGCUCCUGGAUUCAGCGGCGGACGGGUGAGUAAUGCCUAGGAAUCUGCCUGGCAGUGGGGGAUAACGUCCGGAAACGGGCGCUAAUACCGCAUACGUCCUGAGGGAGAAAGGGGGGGAUCUUCGGACCUCACGCUAUCAGAUGAGCCUAGGUCGGAUUAGCUAGUUGGUGGGGUAAAGGCCUACCAAGGCGACGAUCCGUAACUGGUCUGAGAGGAUGAUCAGUCACACUGGAACUGAGACACGGUCCAGACUCCUACGGGAGGCAGCAGUGGGGAAUAUUGGACAAUGGGCGAAAGCCUGAUCCAGCCAUGCCGCGUGUGUGAAGAAGGUCUUCGGAUUGUAAAGCACUUUAAGUUGGGAGGAAGGGCAGUAAGUUAAUACCUUGCUGUUUUGACGUUACCAACAGAAUAAGCACCGGCUAACUUCGUG